GGGGAUGUAGCUCAGUUGGGAGAGCGCUUGAAUGGCAUUCAAGAGGUCGAGGGUUCAAGUCCCUUCAUCUCCACCA
RNAcentral lists this transfer RNA (76 nucleotides) under Bacillota bacterium. RNAcentral's name for it is "tRNA-Ala". It matches the Rfam family "tRNA". Rfam says of the family: Transfer RNA (tRNA) molecules are approximately 80 nucleotides in length. The record is from RNAcentral. Lineage: Bacteria; Bacillati; Bacillota. RNAcentral also lists the same sequence under 1 other name.